RNAcentral lists this ribosomal RNA (840 nucleotides) under uncultured Pseudomonadota bacterium. RNAcentral describes it as "bacterial SSU rRNA". It matches the Rfam family "Bacterial small subunit ribosomal RNA", at positions 45 to 877 of the family's 1533-position model. Lineage: Bacteria; Pseudomonadati; Pseudomonadota. The record is from RNAcentral.
UGCUUACACAUGCAAGUCGAACGGUAACAGGCCUAGCUUGCUAGGUGCUGACGAGUGGCGGACGGGUGAGUAACGCGUAGGAAUCUAGCCUAUAGUGGGGGACAACUUGGGGAAACUCAAGCUAAUACCGCAUAAUCCCUAAGGGGUAAAGCAGGGGACCGUAAGGCCUUGUGCUGUAGGAUGAGCCUGCGUCAGAUUAGCUAGUUGGUGGGGUAAAGGCCUACCAAGGCGACGAUCUGUAGCUGGUCUGAGAGGAUGAUCAGCCACACUGGGACUGAGACACGGCCCAGACUCCUACGGGAGGCAGCAGUGGGGAAUAUUGGACAAUGGGGGAAACCCUGAUCCAGCAAUGCCGCGUGUGUGAAGAAGGCCUUAGGGUUGUAAAGCACUUUCAGAGGGGAAGAAGUGCUGAAUGCUAAUACCAUUCAGUGUUGACGUUACCUUCAGAAGAAGCACCGGCUAAUUCUGUGCCAGCAGCCGCGGUAAUACAGAAGGUGCGAGCGUUAAUCGGAAUUACUGGGCGUAAAGAGUGCGUAGGUGGCUCCUUAAGUCAGGCGUGAAAUCCACGGGCUCAACCCGUGAACUGCGUUUGAAACUGGGUAGCUAGAGUAUGGUAGAGGGAAGUGGAAUUUCAGGUGUAGCGGUGAAAUGCGUAGAUAUCUGAAGGAACACCAGUGGCGAAGGCGACUUCCUGGCCCAAUACUGACACUGAGGCACGAAAGCGUGGGGAUCAAACAGGAUUAGAUACCCUGGUAGUCCACGCCGUAAACGAUGAUAACUAGAUGUUGGGUGAUUUAAUCACUUGGUAUCGCAGCUAACGCGUUAAGUUAUCCGCCUGGG